GUGGGGAAUAUUGGACAAUGGGCGAAAGCCUGAUCCAGCAAUGCCGCGUGAGUGAAGAAGGCCUUCGGGUUGUAAAGCUCUUUUACCCGGGAAGAUAAUGACUGUACCGGGAGAAUAAGCCCCGGCUAACUCCGUGCCAGCAGCCGCGGUAAUACGGAGGGGGCUAGCGUUGUUCGGAAUUACUGGGCGUAAAGCGCACGUAGGCGGUCUUUUAAGUCAGAGGUGAAAGCCCGGGGCUCAACUCCGGAAUUGCCUUUGAAACUGGAAGACUUGAACACGGGAGAGGUGAGUGGAAUUCCGAGUGUAGAGGUGAAAUUCGUAGAUAUUCGGAGGAACACCAGUGGCGAAGGCGGCUCACUGGUCCAUUACUGACGCUGAGGUGCGAAAGCGUGGGGAGCAAACAGGAUUAGAAACCCUUGUAGUCC
Molecule: ribosomal RNA, 425 nt
Filed under: uncultured bacterium
Lineage: Bacteria
Description: partial 16S ribosomal RNA
Rfam family: Bacterial small subunit ribosomal RNA
Source: RNAcentral